CUACGGGACGCUGCAGUGAGGAAUAUUGCACAAUGGGGGGAACCCUGAUGCAGCAACGCCGCGUGGAGGAUGACGCAUUUCGGUGUGUAAACUCCUUUUAUAUGUCAAGAAAAUGACGGUAGCAUAUGAAUAAGCACCGGCUAACUCCGUGCCAGCAGCCGCGGUAAUACGGAGGGUGCAAGCGUUACUCGGAAUCACUGGGCGUAAAGGACGCGUAGGCGGGUUGGAAAGUCAGGUGUGAAAUCCUACAGCUUAACUGUAGAACUGCACUUGAAACUUCUAAUCUAGAGUAUGGGAGGGGGAGAUGGAAUUAGUGGUGUAGGGGUAAAAUCCGUAGAUAUCACUAGGAAUACCUGAAGCGAAGGCGAUCUCCUGGAACAUUGCUGACGCUAAGGCGUGAAAGCGUGGGGAGCAAACAGGAUUAGAUACCCGAGUAGUC
RNAcentral lists this ribosomal RNA (439 nucleotides) under uncultured bacterium. Its description in RNAcentral is "partial 16S ribosomal RNA". It matches the Rfam family "Bacterial small subunit ribosomal RNA", at positions 339 to 795 of the family's 1533-position model. The record is from RNAcentral.